UAGCUUGCUAUACGAGGUCAUGGCGGACGGGUGAGUAACGUGUAAAGAACUUACCUUAUAGACUGGGAUAACAGAUAGAAAUGUCUGAUAAUACUAGAUACAAUUACACAGUGGCAUCACUAAGUAAUGAAAGAAUACGCUAUAAGAGAGCUUUGCAUCCCAUUAGCUAGUUGGUAAGGUAAAGGCUUACCAAGGCGAUGAUAGGUAGCCGGCCUGAGAGGGUGGACGGCCACAAGGGGACUGAGAUACGGCCCUUACUCCUACGGGAGGCAGCAGUGGGGAAUAUUGGACAAUGGAGGGAACUCUGAUCCAGCAAUUCUGUGUGUGUGAAGAAGGUCUUCGGAUUGUAAAACACUUUUAGUUGGGAGGAAACAAAUGACGGUACCAACAGAAGAAGCGACGGCUAAAUAC
This 411-nucleotide ribosomal RNA is filed under the name Fusobacterium sp. oral taxon A42. Its description in RNAcentral is "bacterial SSU rRNA". It matches the Rfam family "Bacterial small subunit ribosomal RNA", at positions 76 to 504 of the family's 1533-position model. The record is from RNAcentral. Lineage: Bacteria; Fusobacteriati; Fusobacteriota; Fusobacteriia; Fusobacteriales; Fusobacteriaceae.